GACGGAGGGUGCUAGCGUUGUUCGGAAUUACUGGGCGUAAAGCGCACGUAGGCGGCUUUGUAAGUUAGAGGUGAAAGCCCAGGGCUUAACCCUGGAAUUGCCUUUAAGACUGCAUCGCUAGAAUCGUGGAGAGGUGAGUGGAAUUCCGAGUGUAGAGGUGAAAUUCGUAGAUAUUCGGAAGAACACCAGUGGCGAAGGCGACUCACUGGACACGUAUUGACGCUGAGGUGCGAAAGCGUGGGGAGCAAACAGG
Molecule: ribosomal RNA, 253 nt
Filed under: uncultured bacterium
Lineage: Bacteria
Description: partial 16S ribosomal RNA
Rfam family: Bacterial small subunit ribosomal RNA
Source: RNAcentral